This 850-nucleotide long non-coding RNA is filed under the name Gossypium barbadense (sea-island cotton). RNAcentral describes it as "long non-coding RNA (GBAR_LNC021064)". The record is from RNAcentral. Lineage: Eukaryota; Viridiplantae; Streptophyta; Magnoliopsida; Malvales; Malvaceae.
GAGCAAAAGAAGGCGGGGAGAGUAUGUGACGUGACUGAACCGCCAAGGAAAUACUACCAACAUCCCCACCACCAUGUGUCUUUGUCAGUUAAUAAUGACAACACUACAAGCAGCAAUAGUAAGCACCCCAUAUACGAUGCCGUUCCACCUCCUAAUCCCAAGAGAUUACCUGUUCGACCUCCUAAACCUGUUGAUGAAGAUCUCUACAAAAUCCCCCCUGAGCUCCUUCACUCUUCCAAGCGAGUAUGUCCUCUUCCCGCUCUCUUCUUUUAUCUUUAUUUUUUUAAGUGAGUAUAAGUAGGUAAAUAAAUUAAAUGUAUCACUUUGAAUCCAACAUUUAAUCUCUUGGUCAAGAAUGUUUACUAUAUCUCUGAAGUCAUGGGAUGGAUUUACAGGCUAUGCCUGUGUGAUAGUUUAAAUAAAUUUAAGAUUCCAUUGUAUAAAAAAAACAUCACAUGAUAGGCCAAUUCCUUCAAAGGUCACCGGCUUGAAUCUGUUCACAUGGACAUAUAAUGAGGGGAACAUUGAUUUCUUGUCAACACACAAGUCUUUGUCAUCCCAUUCCAAGUUUGAAAACCCCCUCAAAUUCCGCUAUAAAUUAAUUAAUCAUAAAGAAAUAUUUGUGGGGGUUUUUUUUGUUUUUUAAUUCCUUAAAACCUUGGGCCAAGGUUUAGUAGCUGAAAGUUGCCCAUCUCUUUCUAAUUUGUUGUAUUACCCAACCCAUGGUUUCCUUGAGCCAUUCAUUCUUUUCUUCUAAUGAUAAAAAAGGAUCACGUAUAUUAAAAUUUUGAACUCUUAACUAUGACCUAUCUGGUUAUGCUCUAUUCUUACAUGUUGAUUUUGUUAUGGA